GCCUGAGUGGACAAAUCGGCAAAGUCCGUAGCCUUAGAAGCUAUAAUCGUUGGUACAGGUUCGAGUCCUGUCUUGGGCA
RNAcentral lists this transfer RNA (79 nucleotides) under Bacteroidota bacterium. Its description in RNAcentral is "Bacteroidetes bacterium (marine metagenome) tRNA-Leu". It matches the Rfam family "tRNA". Rfam says of the family: Transfer RNA (tRNA) molecules are approximately 80 nucleotides in length. Their secondary structure includes four short double-helical elements and three loops (D, anti-codon, and T loops). Lineage: Bacteria; Pseudomonadati; Bacteroidota. The record is from RNAcentral.